GGUGGCUAAGUGUUUGGCUGCUAACCAAAAGGUCUGCAGUUCUAAUCUGCCAGCCACUC
Molecule: transfer RNA, 59 nt
Filed under: Loxodonta africana (African savanna elephant)
Lineage: Eukaryota; Metazoa; Chordata; Mammalia; Proboscidea; Elephantidae
Source: Rfam by way of RNAcentral